RNAcentral lists this ribosomal RNA (2902 nucleotides) under Escherichia coli 1-392-07_S3_C3. Its description in RNAcentral is "bacterial LSU rRNA". It matches the Rfam family "Bacterial large subunit ribosomal RNA". Lineage: Bacteria; Pseudomonadati; Pseudomonadota; Gammaproteobacteria; Enterobacterales; Enterobacteriaceae. The record is from RNAcentral.
UAAGCGACUAAGCGUACACGGUGGAUGCCCUGGCAGUCAGAGGCGAUGAAGGACGUGCUAAUCUGCGAUAAGCGUCGGUAAGGUGAUAUGAACCGUUAUAACCGGCGAUUUCCGAAUGGGGAAACCCAGUGUGUUUCGACACACUAUCAUUAACUGAAUCCAUAGGUUAAUGAGGCGAACCGGGGGAACUGAAACAUCUAAGUACCCCGAGGAAAAGAAAUCAACCGAGAUUCCCCCAGUAGCGGCGAGCGAACGGGGAGCAGCCCAGAGCCUGAAUCAGUGUGUGUGUUAGUGGAAGCGUCUGGAAAGGCGCGCGAUACAGGGUGACAGCCCCGUACACAAAAAUGCACAUGCUGUGAGCUCGAUGAGUAGGGCGGGACACGUGGUAUCCUGUCUGAAUAUGGGGGGACCAUCCUCCAAGGCUAAAUACUCCUGACUGACCGAUAGUGAACCAGUACCGUGAGGGAAAGGCGAAAAGAACCCCGGCGAGGGGAGUGAAAAAGAACCUGAAACCGUGUACGUACAAGCAGUGGGAGCACGCUUAGGCGUGUGACUGCGUACCUUUUGUAUAAUGGGUCAGCGACUUAUAUUCUGUAGCAAGGUUAACCGAAUAGGGGAGCCGAAGGGAAACCGAGUCUUAACUGGGCGUUAAGUUGCAGGGUAUAGACCCGAAACCCGGUGAUCUAGCCAUGGGCAGGUUGAAGGUUGGGUAACACUAACUGGAGGACCGAACCGACUAAUGUUGAAAAAUUAGCGGAUGACUUGUGGCUGGGGGUGAAAGGCCAAUCAAACCGGGAGAUAGCUGGUUCUCCCCGAAAGCUAUUUAGGUAGCGCCUCGUGAAUUCAUCUCCGGGGGUAGAGCACUGUUUCGGCAAGGGGGUCAUCCCGACUUACCAACCCGAUGCAAACUGCGAAUACCGGAGAAUGUUAUCACGGGAGACACACGGCGGGUGCUAACGUCCGUCGUGAAGAGGGAAACAACCCAGACCGCCAGCUAAGGUCCCAAAGUCAUGGUUAAGUGGGAAACGAUGUGGGAAGGCCCAGACAGCCAGGAUGUUGGCUUAGAAGCAGCCAUCAUUUAAAGAAAGCGUAAUAGCUCACUGGUCGAGUCGGCCUGCGCGGAAGAUGUAACGGGGCUAAACCAUGCACCGAAGCUGCGGCAGCGACGCUGAUGCGUUGUUGGGUAGGGGAGCGUUCUGUAAGCCUGUGAAGGUGUGCUGUGAGGCAUGCUGGAGGUAUCAGAAGUGCGAAUGCUGACAUAAGUAACGAUAAAGCGGGUGAAAAGCCCGCUCGCCGGAAGACCAAGGGUUCCUGUCCAACGUUAAUCGGGGCAGGGUGAGUCGACCCCUAAGGCGAGGCCGAAAGGCGUAGUCGAUGGGAAACAGGUUAAUAUUCCUGUACUUGGUGUUACUGCGAAGGGGGGACGGAGAAGGCUAUGUUGGCCGGGCGACGGUUGUCCCGGUUUAAGCGUGUAGGCUGGUUUUCCAGGCAAAUCCGGAAAAUCAAGGCUGAGGCGUGAUGACGAGGCACUACGGUGCUGAAGCAACAAAUGCCCUGCUUCCAGGAAAAGCCUCUAAGCAUCAGGUAACAUCAAAUCGUACCCCAAACCGACACAGGUGGUCAGGUAGAGAAUACCAAGGCGCUUGAGAGAACUCGGGUGAAGGAACUAGGCAAAAUGGUGCCGUAACUUCGGGAGAAGGCACGCUGAUAUGUAGGUGAAGUCCCUCGCGGAUGGAGCUGAAAUCAGUCGAAGAUACCAGCUGGCUGCAACUGUUUAUUAAAAACACAGCACUGUGCAAACACGAAAGUGGACGUAUACGGUGUGACGCCUGCCCGGUGCCGGAAGGUUAAUUGAUGGGGUUAGCCGCAAGGCGAAGCUCUUGAUCGAAGCCCCGGUAAACGGCGGCCGUAACUAUAACGGUCCUAAGGUAGCGAAAUUCCUUGUCGGGUAAGUUCCGACCUGCACGAAUGGCGUAAUGAUGGCCAGGCUGUCUCCACCCGAGACUCAGUGAAAUUGAACUCGCUGUGAAGAUGCAGUGUACCCGCGGCAAGACGGAAAGACCCCGUGAACCUUUACUAUAGCUUGACACUGAACAUUGAGCCUUGAUGUGUAGGAUAGGUGGGAGGCUUUGAAGUGUGGACGCCAGUCUGCAUGGAGCCGACCUUGAAAUACCACCCUUUAAUGUUUGAUGUUCUAACGUUGACCCGUAAUCCGGGUUGCGGACAGUGUCUGGUGGGUAGUUUGACUGGGGCGGUCUCCUCCUAAAGAGUAACGGAGGAGCACGAAGGUUGGCUAAUCCUGGUCGGACAUCAGGAGGUUAGUGCAAUGGCAUAAGCCAGCUUGACUGCGAGCGUGACGGCGCGAGCAGGUGCGAAAGCAGGUCAUAGUGAUCCGGUGGUUCUGAAUGGAAGGGCCAUCGCUCAACGGAUAAAAGGUACUCCGGGGAUAACAGGCUGAUACCGCCCAAGAGUUCAUAUCGACGGCGGUGUUUGGCACCUCGAUGUCGGCUCAUCACAUCCUGGGGCUGAAGUAGGUCCCAAGGGUAUGGCUGUUCGCCAUUUAAAGUGGUACGCGAGCUGGGUUUAGAACGUCGUGAGACAGUUCGGUCCCUAUCUGCCGUGGGCGCUGGAGAACUGAGGGGGGCUGCUCCUAGUACGAGAGGACCGGAGUGGACGCAUCACUGGUGUUCGGGUUGUCAUGCCAAUGGCACUGCCCGGUAGCUAAAUGCGGAAGAGAUAAGUGCUGAAAGCAUCUAAGCACGAAACUUGCCCCGAGAUGAGUUCUCCCUGACUCCUUGAGAGUCCUGAAGGAACGUUGAAGACGACGACGUUGAUAGGCCGGGUGUGUAAGCGCAGCGAUGCGUUGAGCUAACCGGUACUAAUGAACCGUGAGGCUUAACCU